Stegodyphus mimosarum is the source of this 73-nucleotide non-coding RNA. The record is from Rfam. NCBI's taxonomy places the organism in Eukaryota, Metazoa, Arthropoda, Arachnida, Araneae, Eresidae.
GUCUUUAUGGUGUAGUGGUCAGUACGCUCGACGCGUAAUCGUGAGGUCCGGGGUUCGAUUCCCGGCGACGGCA